RNAcentral lists this ribosomal RNA (465 nucleotides) under Vreelandella stevensii. RNAcentral describes it as "partial 16S ribosomal RNA". It matches the Rfam family "Bacterial small subunit ribosomal RNA", at positions 338 to 795 of the family's 1533-position model. The record is from RNAcentral. Lineage: Bacteria; Pseudomonadati; Pseudomonadota; Gammaproteobacteria; Oceanospirillales; Halomonadaceae.
UCUACGGGUGGCUGCAGUGGGGAAUAUUGGACAAUGGGCGAAAGCCUGAUCCAGCCAUGCCGCGUGUGUGAAGAAGGCCUUCGGGUUGUAAAGCACUUUCAGUGGGGAAGAAAGCCUUGGGGCUAAUACCCUCGAGGAAGGACAUCACCCACAGAAGAAGCACCGGCUAACUCCGUGCCAGCAGCCGCGGUAAUACGGAGGGUGCGAGCGUUAAUCGGAAUUACUGGGCGUAAAGCGCGCGUAGGCGGUCUGAUAAGCCGGUUGUGAAAGCCCCGGGCUCAACCUGGGAACGGCAUCCGGAACUGUCAGGCUAGAGUGCAGGAGAGGAAGGUAGAAUUCCCGGUGUAGCGGUGAAAUGCGUAGAGAUCGGGAGGAAUACCAGUGGCGAAGGCGGCCUUCUGGACUGACACUGACGCUGAGGUGCGAAAGCGUGGGUAGCAAACAGGAUUAGAUACCCUAGUAGUC